Molecule: long non-coding RNA, 891 nt
Organism: Felis catus (domestic cat)
Lineage: Eukaryota; Metazoa; Chordata; Mammalia; Carnivora; Felidae
Exons: 3
Source: RefSeq, a predicted model, not a curated record
GGCCCAGAUUUAAAUUCUGAUUCCACUGCAAGUUGGUUGGAUUACCCAAAGGAAAGUCCUUUCCUUUUCUAAGUCUCAGGACAAUAUAGGAUUUACCUUGCCCAGCUUCUAGAAGUUACUCUGUGAGAUGUCCUGCCUGGUGCUAUUCUAGGUGCUAAUGAUGCAGCAGGGAACCAAACAAGACAUUGCUCUCUGGGAACUUACCUUCAAGUGCCAACUGGAGAUUAAAGAAGAGGAGACGAAGCCAGAGUUCUGUGCCGAUUGGAGAUCCAAAAUUGUAGCAGUUGCCUCUCUACCAGCCAUCACUGAGAGGAGGACAGAACCCAAAGAAUCACAGAGAAAUGAAUCAGGACUCAGCCUUGACGAUGACAAUUAACUCUGAACUUGCAGUUACUGAGUCAAUAAAUGUGUUUAAAUUGUAUGCUGUUACUUGCCACCAAAUGCUUCCCAGGUAACCUCACUCACACACCUCCACCUCGAGUCUCUGAGGGAGUCACUCUCUAGAUGCUAGACUAGGUCUCUUUGAAGCUAUUUGCCUACCUGAAGGACAACGUAGGAGUUGAGUACAGAUUUCAACUUUGACUCUGGCACUUAUUUCCUGUGUGAACCUCAGGCAAGUUACUUAAAUCCUCUAUGCUCAGUUUCUUCAUCUGUGAAGUGGGGACAACAGUCAUAUUCCAUAGUUGUAUAAGGACUAUGAGAGAAAUCACGUAAAGUGCUUAGAACUAGGCCUGGCAUAUAAUUACUGGCAUUAAUACAUGAAUUUCGUCAAUGCCUACUGCCCGAUCUCUCCCUCCCUAACAGCAGGACCCCAACUGCACACUCUCUGUGCCUACUUGGAUCACUACCUGUAAUUUCCAUCCCCGAAUCCAAUCCAAGGGUCUUUUUAAC